AAUACGAUUCCCUGGUUGCUAACCAAACUUUGAACAAUUGAUGAACGAGUAUGUCGGUGACGCGAUCUCAUAAGAUUUUCUCCCACCAAAAAGUGCCCAACGCAGCUAAAGAAGUUUUCACUUCAAUUAGGACUAAAGAAUAUUUAUUUGAAUACUGAUAAGCCAUAUAUAGAUGAACAUCUGUUUAGUUCUUCAGGCAUUGAUAUCUAAAAUAAAAGAAAACAGAUACAAUCUAUCUGAAAACAGCAAAAAUAAAAAUGUAAUUAAAGCAUUCCAUUUUUAACAUUA
Molecule: long non-coding RNA, 288 nt
Organism: Aethina tumida (small hive beetle)
Lineage: Eukaryota; Metazoa; Arthropoda; Insecta; Coleoptera; Nitidulidae
Exons: 2
Source: RefSeq, a predicted model, not a curated record